UAGGGAAUCUUCGGCAAUGGGGGCAACCCUGACCGAGCAACGCCGCGUGAGUGAAGAAGGUUUUCGGAUCGUAAAGCUCUGUUGUAAGUCAAGAACGGGUGUGAGAGUGGAAAGUUCACACUGUGACGGUAGCUUACCAGAAAGGGACGGCUAACUACGUGCCAGCAGCCGCGGUAAUACGUAGGUCCCGAGCGUUGUCCGGAUUUAUUGGGCGUAAAGCGAGCGCAGGCGGUUUGAUAAGUCUGAAGUUAAAGGCUGUGGCUCAACCAUAGUUCGCUUUGGAAACUGUCAAACUUGAGUGCAGAAGGGGAGAGUGGAAUUCCAUGUGUAACGGUGAAAUGCGUAGAUAUAUGGAGGAACACCGGUGGCGAAAGCGGCUCUCUGGUCUGUAACUGACGCUGAGGCUCGAAAGCGUGGGGAGCGAACAGG
This 429-nucleotide ribosomal RNA is filed under the name Bacillota bacterium. Its description in RNAcentral is "Firmicutes bacterium partial 16S ribosomal RNA". It matches the Rfam family "Bacterial small subunit ribosomal RNA", at positions 355 to 776 of the family's 1533-position model. Lineage: Bacteria; Bacillati; Bacillota. The record is from RNAcentral.